Molecule: ribosomal RNA, 165 nt
Filed under: uncultured bacterium
Lineage: Bacteria
Description: partial 16S rRNA
Rfam family: Bacterial small subunit ribosomal RNA
Source: RNAcentral
UAGGGAAUCUUCGGCAAUGGGGGGCAACCCUGACCGAGCAACGCCGCGUGAGUGAAGAAGGUUUUCGGAUCGUAAAGCUCUGUUGUAAGAGAAGAACGUGUGUGAGAGUGGAAAGUUCACACAGUGACGGUAACUUACCAGAAGGGACGGCUAACUACGUGCCGG